GGCUUAAUGAUUUUAAUUUUAAGUCUAUCUGCCCAAUGAUUUUAAAUUUAAUGGCUGCAGUAUAAUUGACUGUACAAAGGUAGCAUAAUCAAUUGUUUUUUAAUUAAAAACUGGAAUGAAAGAAUUAAUGAGAUAUAUACUGUCUCAUAUAUAUAUAAUUAAUUUAAAUUUUUAGUAAAAAUGCUAAAAUAAAUUUAUGGGACGAUAAGACCCUAUAGAAUUUUAUAUUAAUAUAUAAAUUAAAAAUUAUUUUGUAUAUUAAUAUUUAAUUGGGAGGAUUAAUAAAUUUGUAAAACUUUAUUUUAAAUAAAAACUUUGAUUAGAGAAUUUAUAAUGAUUAUGUAUUAUGAAUUAUAAGAAUAAAUUACCUUAGGGAUAACAGCGUAAUAUCUUUUUAAAGAUCAAAUUGAUAAAGAUGAUUGCGACCUCGAUGUUGAAUUAAGAUAAAUUUUAAAUGUAGAAGUUUAAUAAUUGAGUCUGUUCGACUCUUAAAAUCUUACAUGAUUUGAGUUCAAAUCGACGUGAGU
This 527-nucleotide ribosomal RNA is filed under the name Bombus vandykei. RNAcentral's name for it is "partial 16S ribosomal RNA". The stretch from base 375 to 527 matches the Rfam family "Bacterial large subunit ribosomal RNA", at positions 2473 to 2626 of the family's 2925-position model. Lineage: Eukaryota; Metazoa; Arthropoda; Insecta; Hymenoptera; Apidae. The record is from RNAcentral.